RNAcentral lists this non-coding RNA (77 nucleotides) under bovine gut metagenome. The record is from RNAcentral.
ACUCGGGGGUGCUCCCAGACGGGGGCUGAGAUGAUACCCAUUGAACCUGAUGCGGGUAAUGCCGACGAAGGAAUGUC